RNAcentral lists this long non-coding RNA (1030 nucleotides) under Pan troglodytes (chimpanzee). RNAcentral describes it as "long non-coding RNA NONPTRT011832". Lineage: Eukaryota; Metazoa; Chordata; Mammalia; Primates; Hominidae. The record is from RNAcentral.
GUACUUCAGACAUUCCCCCAGUGGCUGAAGUGGCAUAUGAAUUAUGAAGCUGGAUCAUUUGGAAUGAAUGUAAGAGAAUUGCCAAGGGCUCCUCCUACUCCAGAGAGGAAACCUCAUCCAGGGCCAUGAAGCCACUUCCUCACCAUCUGUGUGCUGCUUAAGCUAAUGCUGCGGGAACCAUGGUUCCUUGGGAGGAAUCAAGCUGACUCUUGGCAUGAGAUUCCUGCCUUCCUAGUGUUGAGAGCGGCACUGCCAUGGCUUCUCUGGACGACCCAGGGGAAGUGAGGGAGGGCUUCCUCUGCCCUCUGUGCCUGAAGGAUCUGCAGUCUUUCUAUCAGCUUCACUCACAUUACGAGGAAGAACACUCGGGGGAAGACCGUGAUGUCAAAGGGCAAAUUAAAAAUGUUAUAUCUGUUUCUUGAAGCUUUUUGCAAGUAUUCUCACAUGCAUUCAAUAAGUGCGUGGGCAGUAGUGGGGAAGCAAGAACUCUGUGUCCAGUUAAGCCUAUGGGGAACACCAGUCCACGGAUGGAGGUUUAGCUGAAUCCCAUCCUGGAGGUCUUGUCCAGAAGGCUAAGAAAGCAAAGGACAGGUUGUUGAAACGAGAAGGGGAUGAUCGAGCAGAGUCAGGGACCCAAGGAUAUGAGUCUUUCAGCUAUGGAGGGGUUGAUCCUUACAUGUGGGAACCCCAGGAGCUUGGUAAGAAAAUUCAUUUAUUCAUUCAGCAAGUGGUUAUUGAGCAUCUGCUAUGUUCUAGGUAAAGUUUUAAGAGUUGGCUGAGGAGGCAUCAGUAAACCAUAAUGGUCCAAGCUUCUCAUGGACCUUAUGCCCUUGCUGGGGGAAGAAAAUGGAAGAGAACCAGCUGAGCAUCCACUUUGUGUUAGGCACUACAUUAAGUGCCUUAUACCCAUGGUCUUGUUAGAUCUUCACUGCACCUCAUGAGAACCUGCCCAGGGACAAACAGUGAGUAAACUGCAGAAGUAGGGUAUGAAUCCAUAUCUCUCUGAUGUCAGCCCAGGCAUAGAGUCCAU